GCGGCCUAUCAGCUUGUUGGUGAGGUAAUGGCUCACCAAGGCGACGACGGGUAGCCGGCCUGAGAGGGCGACCGGCCACACUGGGACUGAGACACGGCCCAGACUCCUACGGGAGGCAGCAGUGGGGAAUAUUGGGCAAUGGAGGAAACUCUGACCCAGCGACGCCGCGUGCGGGAUGAAGGCCUUCGGGUUGUAAACCGCUUUCAGCAAGGAAGAAGCGAAAGUGACGGUACUUGCAGAAGAGGCACCGGCUAACUAUGUGGCAGCAGCCGCGGUAAUACAUAGGGUGCAAGCGUUGUCCGGAAUUAUUGGGCGUAAAGAGCUCGUAGGUGGUUCGUCACGUCGGAUGUGAAAAUCUGGGGCUUAACCCCAGACCUGCAUUCGAUACGGGCGAGCUAGAGUGUGGUAGGGGAGACUGGAAUUCCU
This 426-nucleotide ribosomal RNA is filed under the name uncultured Actinomycetes bacterium. RNAcentral describes it as "bacterial SSU rRNA". It matches the Rfam family "Bacterial small subunit ribosomal RNA", at positions 233 to 671 of the family's 1533-position model. Lineage: Bacteria; Bacillati; Actinomycetota; Actinomycetes. The record is from RNAcentral.